RNAcentral lists this unclassified non-coding RNA (301 nucleotides) under uncultured Ascomycota. Its description in RNAcentral is "sequence contains ITS1". The stretch from base 1 to 105 matches the Rfam family "5.8S ribosomal RNA", at positions 50 to 154 of the family's 154-position model. Lineage: Eukaryota; Fungi; Ascomycota. The record is from RNAcentral.
GAAAUGCGAUAAGUAGUGUGAAUUGCAGAAUUCAGUGAAUCAUCGAAUCUUUGAACGCACAUUGCGCCCCUUGGUAUUCCAGGGGGCAUGCCUGUUCGAGCGUCAUUUGUACCCUCAAGCUAUGCUUGGUGUUGGGUGUUUGUCUGGCCUUUGUGCCUAGACUCGCCUUAAAGUAAUUGGCAGCCGGUGUUUUGGUAGUAGAGCGCAGCACAUUUUGUACUCUGUUUCCUAAACUAUGGCAUCCAUAAGCACACUUCUCACUUUUGACCUCGGAUCAGGUAGGGAUACCCGCUGAACUUAA